GCCAGGCAUGGUGGUGUGUGCCUAUAGUCCCAGCUACUUGGGAGGCUGAGAUGGGAGGAUCGCUUGAGUCCAGGAGUUCUGGGCUGUAGUGCACUAUGCUGAGGGUGUCCACACUAAGUUUGGCAUCAAUAUGGUGACCUCCCAGGAGCGGGGGACCACCAGGUUGCCUAAGGAGGGGUGAACUGGCCCAGAUCAGAUGUAGCGCAGGUCAAAAUUCCCAUGCUGAUCGGUAGUGGGAUUGCACCUGUGAAUAGCCGCUGCACUCAAGCCUGGGCAACAUAGUGAGACCCUGUCUCUA
Molecule: unclassified non-coding RNA, 298 nt
Organism: Callithrix jacchus (white-tufted-ear marmoset)
Lineage: Eukaryota; Metazoa; Chordata; Mammalia; Primates; Cebidae
Rfam family: Metazoan signal recognition particle RNA
About the family: The signal recognition particle (SRP) is a universally conserved ribonucleoprotein.
Source: Ensembl